RNAcentral lists this ribosomal RNA (1750 nucleotides) under Tylenchorhynchus leviterminalis. Its description in RNAcentral is "SSU rRNA". It matches the Rfam family "Eukaryotic small subunit ribosomal RNA". Lineage: Eukaryota; Metazoa; Nematoda; Chromadorea; Rhabditida; Telotylenchidae. The record is from RNAcentral.
UUCCAAAAGAUUAAUAGCAUGCAUGUAUAAGUAUAAACGACUUGAUCGUGAAACCGCGAACGGCUCAUUAUAACAGCUAUAAUUUACUUGAUCUUGACAACCUACUUGGAUAACUGUGGUAAUUCUAGAGCUAAUACAUGCACCAAAGCUCCGACCGUAAGGGAAGAGCGCAUUUAUUAGAACAAAACCAAGCGGCUUCGGCCGUUCAGUGUUGACUCAGAAUAACUAAGCUGAUCGCAUGGUCUUGUACCGGCGACGUGUCUUUCAAGUAUCUGCCUUAUCAACUUUCGAUGGUAGUGUAUCUGACUACCAUGGUAGUGACGGGUAACGGAGGAUAAGGGUUCGACUCCGGAGAAGGGGCCUGAGAAAUGGCCACUACGUCUAAGGAUGGCAGCAGGCGCGCAAAUUACCCACUCUCAGAACGAGGAGGUAGUGACGAGAAAUAACAAGACCGUUCUCUUCAGAGGCCGGUCAUUGGAAUGGGUACAAUUUAAACCCUUUAACGAGUAUCUAUGAGAGGGCAAGUCUGGUGCCAGCAGCCGCGGUAAUUCCAGCUCUCAAAAUGCAUAGAAUCAUUGCUGCGGUUAAAAAGCUCGUAGUUGGAUCUGUGCUGACCUCCCGGUCCACCUUCGGGUGCGCACUGGUGGGGUUGGCUUUCUGCAGUUAUAGGGCUGGUGCCCUUCACUGGGUAUCAGAGUCCAGACUGCAAGUUUACUUUGAACAAAUCAGAGUGCUUCAAACAGGCGUUUCGCUUGAAUGUUCGUGCAUGGAAUAAUAGAAGAGGAUUUCGGUUCUAUUUUAUUGGUUUUAUAGACUGAGAUAAUGGUUAACAGAGACAAACGGGGGCAUUCGUAUUGCUACGUGAGAGGUGAAAUUCUUGGACCGUAGUUAGACGGGGUCCCGCGAAAGCAUUUGCCAAGAAUGUCUUCAUUAAUCAAGAACGAAAGUCAGAGGUUCGAAGGCGAUCAGAUACCGCCCUAGUUCUGUACCGUAAACGAUGCCAACUAGCGAUCCGCCGGUGGAUUCCUUGCCCUGGUGGGGAGCUUCCCGGAAACGAAAGUCUUCCGGUUCCGGGGGAAGUAUGGUUGCAAAGCUGAAACUUAAAGGAAUUGACGGAAGGGCACCACCAGGAGUGGAGCCUGCGGCUUAAUUUGACUCAACACGGGGAAACUCACCCGGCCCGGACACCGUAAGGAUUGACAGAUUGAUAGCUUUUUCAUGAUUCGGUGGAUGGUGGUGCAUGGCCGUUCUUAGUUCGUGGAGCGAUUUGUCUGGUUUAUUCCGAUAACGAGCGAGACUCUAGCCUACUAAAUAGUCGGCACAUUGUCUCUGUGUGUGUGACUUCUUAGAGGGAUUUUCGGUGUUCAGCCGCACGAAAUUGAGCAAUAACAGGUCUGUGAUGCCCUUAGAUGUCCGGGGCUGCACGCGCGCUACACUGGCAAAAUCAGCGUGCUUGUCCUUCCCCGAAAGGGGUUGGUAAACCCUUGAAAAUUUGCCGUGAUUGGGAUUGGAAAUUGCAAUUAUUUUCCAUGAACGAGGAAUUCCAAGUAAGUGCGAGUCAUCAGCUCGCGUUGAUUACGUCCCUGCCCUUUGUACACACCGCCCGUCGCUGCCCGGGACUGAGCCAUUUCGAGAAACUUGGGGACCGUGGAUUCGGUGGCUUUCGGGUCGCCGUUUUCGUGGGAACCAAUUUAAUCGCAGUGGCUUGAACCGGGCAGAAGUCGUAGAAGGUACUUUGAUAGGUGAAAUG